This is a non-coding RNA of Heterocephalus glaber (naked mole-rat), 1769 nucleotides long. The record is from RefSeq and is a predicted model, not a curated record. Lineage: Eukaryota; Metazoa; Chordata; Mammalia; Rodentia; Bathyergidae.
CCCUUUGAAAAGGAAAGAAAUCUGUCAUUUGCAGCAUAGAUCAGGCUGGAGGAUAUUACACCAAGGGAAAUAAACCAGGCACAGAAACACAGCUACCUCUGUCCUCACCCAAGAAUGGGAUUUAAAGCAACUGAACUCAGAGCAGAGCAGAAUGGCAGGAUAGGGGCUGGGGAAAUGGAGACUAAAGGGUGCGGGCCUUGGAUAGGAGGCGAAGUGGGAUUGCUUGUUUGGAGAUCUGUUGCAUAGUGUGAUGAACACACCACAAGAUGUGUGGCUGAGCACCAGGCUUCAGUGUGGCUGGAGCGUGGAUCUCCAAUGUUCUCAUUGCAAAAGACAUCAAUGUGUGAAGUGAUGGGUGAGUGGGCUUGGUUUGAUUGAUCAUCCCACAUAGUAUUUAAAGAACAAUCACUUCUCUUUGCAAUUCAUAAAUAAAUACAGCUAUAAUGUGUCAACAUACAAUUUUUUAAAGUGGGAAAACAAAGAGUAGGGUUGAUAACUUUUAAUUUUUAUUAAAGAAAAAAAACCUAUCAUCUCCCAUUACUAUCAUCUCAAGAACUAAGAUAAAUACACAUUAAUCCCAAACCAGUAGAGAGAGCAUAAAAACAGCAGCCAACAGGGCGGAGGGCUGCAGGAUGCCCAGGUGGGUCAGAGGAAUUAGUGUUCGCGUCCCAGUGAAAGUGUGAGCUGAGGAGACAGUCAGCUAUGGUCCAGGUGAUGGUAUAACCCUUCCGGCAUCUUCUGAGGGUGCUGGGACUUAAUCCUAAGAUAUUAAAGGUUUACUGUGGACUAGAAAAGAAUUAUGCACUCUUUUCAUGAUGCCAAGAACAGCUCUGUGUGGGUCUGUAAAUCACUUCAUAUUUUUAAAGCUGCUGUUUAAUAGUUUACUUUAUUUAAAUCCCACAACAGCAAUGAAGUAAAUUUGAUCAUCCCAUUUCCCACUUUCCAUCUGACACUCAAGGCCCCAAAUGAAUCCCUGUUGAAUCUUUAAAAAUCCAGGCAUUGUCAAUAGUCAAUUAGCAAAUCGCUCCUGAUCUGAACCACCCAAUACCUGAUCAAGGGAAUCCAGAUUUUAAAGAUCAGGGUUGCUACAAAACUUCUUAAAAGUGUCUAAAGUAUCUUCCAACCAAAUAAACAUUGAUUCCAAAUAAAAUAUUCCAGAAGCAGAGAGUGGGCGUGGUAGAAGUUAAUUCUGGAGAAGAACACGCCUAAGACAGCCAGGAGCGAACCCAUGAGAGAGGGGAUCAUCCCCGGGCUGUGUCUGAAUCUUGCAAGAGCCAGAGCCUGAAGUAGGGUUAGGUUGCUGACACGUUUCUGGGAGGAGGGGAGGGAGAUGGGGUGAGGUAAUGCAGGGCAGCCGGCUUCAUAAGAAGCCUGAGUCACAGCAGGUGACUCAGGAGCUGUUCCCUGGACACCGGGGAUUUCUCAGGAGGGGCUGGAGGAGGGACCAACCCUCUCAGAGGUCCACGGAAGGGGCUCCCUCCGACAGCGCCGCUGCCACGGGUGCAGUGUCACCACCGGGAGCUCACGACCCCACCCUUCCCAGCCGCCGCCCCUCGAGUCAGGUUCCACAUCCUGAGAUGCGGAGUUUUGUCCAAGGUGGAAAAUGGAAUGAUUGGGAGAGGGUGAAAAGAAGACAGGUUCCUGAGAGAUUUCCAGGGGAUCAUGGGCUGACACCGGGACAGACGCUGGGACAGAUGUGACACCCUGCUCCUGUACUUCAAGCCUCCAGAACUGAGAAAGAAUAAAUUUCUGUUUUUAUGAGUCACUCA